RNAcentral lists this long non-coding RNA (218 nucleotides) under Canis lupus familiaris (dog). RNAcentral's name for it is "lncRNA (ENSCAFG00805024004.1, ENSCAFG00845027463.1)". The record is from RNAcentral. Lineage: Eukaryota; Metazoa; Chordata; Mammalia; Carnivora; Canidae.
AUUUCUAAUUUAUGCGUCUUUAGACCCUCACGCGUCAUUUUGUGGGCAACCAAACGGGCGUUUUCACAUUAGCUCAAAGUAUCCAAAUCCAAAGAAGAGAGAAAACACGCACACAGAGACAGACACCCACAAACACACAGGAAAUACGUAAUCUGUUCAAGGAAUAUGAAAUGGAUGCAGGAAUCAGAGCAAAGAAUUUUGACAUUGUGAACUCUUGA